GAGAAUGACUGCUUACUGGAAGAUUGUAUUGAGGAGAUUGGUUGAUUCUAUGGCUCUGCAUUUGCAGUUCAGUGUUCAAAAUCUUGUGAACAAGGAGAUGGAAAAGGAGAUCAUUAGCGAGUUGAUGAGUAAUCAAGGAGGUGUAAUAGAAAGAAUGAUGGAGGAAUCGCCCUCAAUUGCUGCUAAACGUGAGAAGCUGAACAAGAGCAUCAAGUUGCUUGGAGAGUCCAAGAAGGUCUUAGGAAAUAUCAUGGACAAAAUUGCUACAUAUAGUGAUUAGAGUAGGGUCACUCUUUAUCCUUCUUUUGUGUGUUCUUAGUUUAUUAGUAUUUAAAAGUGUUUGUAUUUUGUUUUAGGGGAAGGGUUUGAGCAUUUAACCCCAUGACUCCAUAUAAGGUAUUUCCUUGUGCUUUUGUAUGAUUACUUACUAUAUAUGAAGAGGCCAACAUCUUCA
This 454-nucleotide unclassified non-coding RNA is filed under the name Hevea brasiliensis (rubber tree). Lineage: Eukaryota; Viridiplantae; Streptophyta; Magnoliopsida; Malpighiales; Euphorbiaceae. The record is from RNAcentral.